AGGAGAUCCCCAAAGCUGAAAAUCUUACAGGUACAUAGCCACAUGGCAAGUAUUGCCCCAAUAUUUAACUGGCUCACCAAUACUAAAAGGAACUUUUAGAUACAGGCAUUGUAAGGCAUGUAAGUUCAUCACUCUCUCAACCACAGUCAAGUCUACACAAUCCAACAUCAAGGUACACAUUAAUGCAUUUAUUAAUUGCAGCACCACCCGGGUUAUAUAUCUCAUAACAUGCAGCUGUGGUGCUCAAUAUAUAGGUAAAACCAUUCAG
Pelobates cultripes (western spadefoot toad) is the source of this 268-nucleotide non-coding RNA. NCBI's taxonomy places the organism in Eukaryota, Metazoa, Chordata, Amphibia, Anura, Pelobatidae. The record is from the annotation of a GenBank genome assembly.